This 1370-nucleotide small RNA is filed under the name Pongo abelii (Sumatran orangutan). RNAcentral describes it as "processed transcript". The record is from RNAcentral. Lineage: Eukaryota; Metazoa; Chordata; Mammalia; Primates; Hominidae.
UUGAAAAAUAAAAAAAUAGAAAAUAAUGUUAUUUAUUUGCAUAACCUAGUAAUGAACAUUGGGUCAUUUGUAAUUUUUUGCAUUUACAGACAGUGUUACUAUGGAUAUUCUCUUCAUAAGCGCCUCCUAGAGCACACAUCAAGAGGUCUGUCAGCUACGAACUAUAGCAACAUGCAUCAACAUAAAUGAAUCUUAGGACUAUAAUGUUGAGCCAAAAAAAAAAACCCGAAACAAAUUGCAAAAUCAUAAAUGCAGUAUGAUUCCAUCUAGUUACAUCCUAAAAAAUAUUUUUAGUUAAUUAAAAGAUUUUGGUCUAGUUGGAGUUGAUAUAUUAAUGUGCAGUAAAGUUUCCCAAUGUAGUAAAUUUAAACUAUGGAAGAAGAAGAAGAAAAGGUGAUCUGCAACUCUUUCACCAUCUGUAAUGCAGAGAUGCAGGAAGUUGGUGUUGGCCUAUAUCCUAGUAUCUCUUUGCUCAAUCACAGCUGUGACCCCAACUGUUCGAUUGUGUUUAAUGGGCCCCACCUCUUACUGCGAGCAGUCCGAGACAUCGAGGUGGGAGAGGAGCUCACUAUCUGCUACCUGGAUAUGCUGAUGACCAGUGAGGAGCGCCGGAAGCAGCUGAGGGACCAGUACUGCUUUGAAUGUGACUGUUUCCGUUGCCAAACCCAGGACAAGGAUGCUGAUAUGCUAACUGGUGAUGAGCAAGUAUGGAAGGAAGUUCAAGAAUCCCUGAAAAAAAUUGAAGAACUGAAGGCACACUGGAAGUGGGAGCAGGUUCUGGCCAUGUGCCAGGCGAUCAUAAGCAGCAAUUCUGAACGGCUUCCCGAUAUCAACAUCUACCAGCUGAAGGUGCUCGACUGCGCCAUGGAUGCCUGCAUCAACCUCGGCCUGUUGGAGGAAGCCUUGUUCUAUGGUACUCGGACCAUGGAGCCAUACAGGAUUUUUUUCCCAGGAAGCCAUCCCGUCAGAGGCGUUCAAGUGAUGAAAGUUGGCAAACUGCAGCUACAUCAAGGCAUGUUUCCCCAAGCAAUGAAGAAUCUGAGACUGGCUUUUGAUAUUAUGAGAGUGACACAUGGCAGAGAACACAGCCUGAUUGAAGAUUUGAUUCUACUUUUAGAAGAAUGCGACGCCAACAUCAGAGCAUCCUAAGGGAACGCAGUCAGAGGGAAAGAUGGCGUGUGUCUUUGUUGAAUGCCUUAUUGAGGUCACACACUCUAUACUUUGUUAGCUGUGUGAACCUCUCCUAUUGGAAAUUCUGUUCUGUGUUUGUGUAGGUAAAUAAAGGCAGACAUGGUUUGCAAACCACAAGAAUCAUUAGUUGUAGAGAAGCACAAUUAUAAUAAAUUCAAAACAUUUGGUUGAGGAUGCCG